UACGGGGGGGGCAAGCGUUGCUCGGAAUUACUGGGCGUAAAGGGCUCGUAGGCGGCCAACUAAGUCAGACGUGAAAUCCCUAGGCUCAACCUAGGAACUGCGUCUGAUACUGGACGGCUAGAGUAUGGGAGAGGGAUGUAGAAUUCCAGGUGUAGCGGUGAAAUGCGUAGAUAUCUGGAGGAAUACCGGUGGCGAAGGCGGCAUCCUGGACCAUUUACUGACGCUGAGGCGCGAAAGCUAGGGGAGCAAACGGG
RNAcentral lists this ribosomal RNA (254 nucleotides) under uncultured bacterium. Its description in RNAcentral is "partial 16S ribosomal RNA". It matches the Rfam family "Bacterial small subunit ribosomal RNA", at positions 524 to 776 of the family's 1533-position model. The record is from RNAcentral.